This 411-nucleotide ribosomal RNA is filed under the name uncultured bacterium. RNAcentral's name for it is "bacterial SSU rRNA". It matches the Rfam family "Bacterial small subunit ribosomal RNA", at positions 32 to 423 of the family's 1533-position model. The record is from RNAcentral.
AAUCAACGCUGGCGGCGUGCCUCAGACAUGCAAGUCGAACGCGAAAGUCCCCUUCGGGGGACAAGUAGAGUGGCGCACGGGUGAGUAACACGUAGGUAAUCUACCUUCGGAUGGGGAAUAACAACCGGAAACGGUUGCUAAUACCGCAUAAUGCAGCGGCACCUAAUGGUGACAGUUGUUAAAGCGGGGGAUCGAAAGACCUCGCGUCUGAAGAGGAGCCUGCGGCGGAUUAGCUAGUGGUAAGGUAAUGGCUUACCAAGGCGACGAUCCGUAGCCGGCCUGAGAGGGCGGUCGGCCACACUGACACUGACAUACGGGUCAGACUCCUACGGGAGGCAGCAGUCGGGAAUUUUGGGCAAUGGGCGAAAGCCUGACCCAGCAACGCCGCGUGAAGGAUGAAAUCCCUCGGGA